RNAcentral lists this ribosomal RNA (274 nucleotides) under uncultured bacterium. RNAcentral describes it as "partial 16S ribosomal RNA". It matches the Rfam family "Bacterial small subunit ribosomal RNA", at positions 523 to 796 of the family's 1533-position model. The record is from RNAcentral.
AUACAGAGAGUGCAAACGUUGUUCGGAAUUACUGGGCUUAAAGCGCACGUAGGCGGCAUUGUUAGUGUUGGGUGAAAUCCCACGGCUCACCCGUGGAACUGCCCAGCAAACUGCAGUGCUAGAGUAUGGUAGGGGAGGGCGGAACUCAUGGUGGAGCGGUGAAAUGCGUAGAUAUCAUGAGGAACACCGGUGGCGAAGGCGGCUCUCUGGUCCAUAACUGACGCUGAGGUGCGAAAGCUAGGGUAGCGAACGGGAUUAGAAACCCUAGUAGUCC